GGGUGCAUAAAAUGGUUUAUUAGUGGCGUCUAUGUUGCUAUUUACUGAUUUUAGGGAACGUGAGGAGUGCAUUAAGUAGGUGUCUUGCAAAAUGGAGCAUGAGGUAUAGUCAGCAAAAUAUGACCUGCAGAAAUGUGAACAUGGUUGCAGUUUACAAUACAAAAUAGCAAAGAGAAAUCCUAAGGUUAAUGCGAUAGAUAUGAUAAAUAACCUAAAUAUAUAAGAAAGUAUAUAAGAAAAACAGUUCUUCAGUUGUCUCCUGGCCUGGUCCCAGGUUCGAGAGACAUUGAAUAAGCGUCGUAUGAUGACAAUGGGCAUUUCAUUUUCUCCAUUAUCAGGAUGAAAUGAGUCUGGCUUUAUCAGGUUAGACAUCAUGUGGUACUUUUGGCUUUCUGUUCCUGCUGGAUGUUUGAGUACCUUGUUGUUGUUCUUUCAGACGUUGUGUGUUAAUCAGUGAUUGCGUGUGUGCACUGGAUCCGGGCGCUGGCUCGCCUGAGAUGUCGUCUACCCGUGUGUUUAUUUGCUCUAGUUCCGGGCGCUGGCUCGCCGGAGAUGUCGUCUGCUUGAUCCGACGCCUGAGAUGGUCCGAUUGGGCUGGUCUUAACCCUGCUGGCAUGAAUCCACUGAGGUUGUCCGUCUGUGAGGAUGCUGGUUCUUCGUCACUGCCAGUAAAGCCUGGGGGCUGGAAAACGCGGCCUCCCAGAGUGUCCUUGGUUUUAGUGGCUUCUCCAACAUGCGUCUCCUUGUCUCCACUGGUGGAACUGUGGAGGGGAAAAGCUGAGAGAGACAAACUUUCUGAUAGUUAUUAUUCAGUUUUUCUACCAGGUUGUGAACAUCAGUGGACAAUGCAAUAUAGAUCACCUUCUACUAGCGGUGCCCCUCUGGAAGCUGACCAUGGUCUUGGAAAUAGUCUUAUUUCAAAUGGAAAUAAUUUGGUUACUUCAGAUUGAGUCAUUCUAAUCUCACACAGGACUUGAGUAAGUAAUUUGACACAGGUCAUUAAAGUUUUAGCACACUUUUGAAUUACUUCUAAUGUGAAUGAAGAUCCUCUAUCACUGUUAAUCUGGUGAGGUAUUCCGAAUCUGGGUAUUAUUUCAUUGCUCAACUUUUGACAGACUACUUCUGCAGUUUCUUUUGAGGUUGGAUAAGCUUCUACUCAUUUACUAAAUUGAUCCACUAUUACCAGUAAGUACUUGAUACUUCCUUGUGCUGGCAUAUGUGUAAAAUCAAUUUGUAAUGUAUGAAAUGGAAAAUCUGGUUGUGGUAAAUGCUGAUGUUUUGCUUUUGAGCUACCUACAUUAGUUCGCGCACAUGUUAGACAGGUUGCUAAUAUGCUUUUUACUGCAUGCAAUGUUUUCUCAAUUACAAAUCUUGAUUUUAUUGCCCCUAUUACCCCUCUUUGUCCGACAUGACUCACACAGUGAAAAUGUCGGGCAAGGACUGGCAUCAGGGAAUAUGGGAGGGCAAUCAAACCCUUAAGAUUUUGUAUAGGCCAUCUCUGUCAUCUAAGGUACAGUCAUUAUUCUAUGCAGAGGCUUGCUCUUGUAUAAAUUUUAAAUCAACAUUUGUGUCUAAAUAGUCUGGGAGUGUAACAAGUGGCAGCUGUAGGGGC
Astatotilapia calliptera (eastern happy) is the source of this 1612-nucleotide long non-coding RNA. NCBI's taxonomy places the organism in Eukaryota, Metazoa, Chordata, Actinopteri, Cichliformes, Cichlidae. The record is from Ensembl.